GGUGGCUCAGUGGUAGAGCACUUGCCUUGCAUGCAUGAAGCCCUGGGUUCCAAUCCUCAGCACCA
This 65-nucleotide transfer RNA is filed under the name Dipodomys ordii (Ord's kangaroo rat). It matches the Rfam family "tRNA". From Rfam's summary of the family: Transfer RNA (tRNA) molecules are approximately 80 nucleotides in length. Their secondary structure includes four short double-helical elements and three loops (D, anti-codon, and T loops). The record is from Rfam by way of RNAcentral. Lineage: Eukaryota; Metazoa; Chordata; Mammalia; Rodentia; Heteromyidae.